GAUGAACGCUGGCGGCGUGCCUAAUACAUGCAAGUCGAGCGAACAGACGAGGAGCUUGCUCCUCUGACGUUAGCGGCGGACGGGUGAGUAACACGUGGAUAACCUACCUAUAAGACUGGGAUAACUUCGGGAAACCGGAGCUAAUACCGGAUAAUAUAUUGAACCGCAUGGUUCAAUAGUGAAAGACGGUUUUGCUGUCACUUAUAGAUGGUUCCGCGCCGCAUUAGCUAGUUGGUAAGGUAACGGCUUACCAAGGCAACGAUGCCUAGCCGACCUGAGAGGGUGAUCGGCCACACUGGAACUGAGACACGGUCCAGACUCCUACGGGAGGCAGCAGUGGGGAAUCUUCCGCAAUGGGCGAAAGCCUGACGGAGCAACGCCGCGUGAGUGAUGAAGGUCUUCGGAUCGUAAAACUCUGUUAUUAGGGAAGAACAAAUGUGUAAGUAACUAUGCACGUCUUGACGGUACCUAAUCAGAAAGCCACGGCUAACUACGUG
This 497-nucleotide ribosomal RNA is filed under the name uncultured bacterium. RNAcentral describes it as "partial 16S ribosomal RNA". It matches the Rfam family "Bacterial small subunit ribosomal RNA", at positions 28 to 507 of the family's 1533-position model. The record is from RNAcentral.